CGCUUUAGUGACCACGAUUUUAAGAAAGUACUUUAUAUGUGUCAAAAAUGCUAAUUCUUUACUGGGGACUAAACAUUGUCUAAGUUCUUCCCACUCUCACCAACAACAGUAGUUAAAGGGCGAGCAAGGACUAUAGCUUCCGAGUCUGUCCGUGUCUGACUUUACAGCCUCUGCCUCACAAGUCCACAUGCUUUCCUGAGCAGUUUGAGAGGUUAAUGAAUGCCUCAAAGUGAGGAUUGCAGGGUGCUUUGCAAUUCGCUUGACCUACAAGUUGGAACAUGAAAGCACAUGCUUGUCUUUGUCCCCACUGCAGGGUGCAGCUCUGCCACAUUUAGAAGAACUGGUGUGUCGUAACUGCCGCAGUGUUGCGUUUUAUGAAGGGACAAACCGUGGGUUAUAUCCUGUCCUGCUAUGUGUCAAAGAAUUAUGAUGGGGAAGAAGGGAAGACAUGCAAAUGUAGUAAUCGUCAGAUUCCCUGUGUGUCAGACCUGGAGUAUGAUCGUCUCAUUAGGAAUCAGAUAACCCUUAAUGAGCAGACUACAGUGGUCUGUGUCUCAUCUUCACAAACAAGGGUCCUAAAGAAGACAAGACAGAGCAGCUGUACGAAAGAAAGAACAAGAACAUAAGUAUGCCUUGUAUUCAGGUUAGAUUCCUAUUUGCACACCCCACAACAAUUAAAAGUUGUUUGUCAUCAGCAGCACAGAUAAUCUCUAACAUGAAAAGGACAACUCAGCUGUCUUCUUUGUAAAUUACCAGCGCAAGAAGGGUGGUACUACAAACCCCAAACGGAUAACAAAGCUUUCAUUAUAUGUAUUUAAACUCUGGUUAUUAAAUUUAAAUGAACUUUAGCAUGAUCAAAUCUUGAUUUACUUGAACUCUUCGGACUGCAUGUGCACAUAAACACAUGAAUUUGUCAAGCUGUUUCUCUAAGGGGCGGUUCGUACCACAGAAUUGUUUCAAUAAUAUGCAUAUGAGCAUGUGAAGUUGGCUAGUCUGCAUGAAAUAUUCCUAGACAGAAGGAAGAAGGGAAUUAACCUCAAGAAUCACUGUCUCAGUCAA
Molecule: long non-coding RNA, 1059 nt
Organism: Cuculus canorus (common cuckoo)
Lineage: Eukaryota; Metazoa; Chordata; Aves; Cuculiformes; Cuculidae
Exons: 4
Source: RefSeq, a predicted model, not a curated record